Long non-coding RNA from Astatotilapia calliptera (eastern happy), 2256 nucleotides. Lineage: Eukaryota; Metazoa; Chordata; Actinopteri; Cichliformes; Cichlidae. The record is from Ensembl.
CUGCAGUACUGUACAACAGCACAAACUUGUCUGUAUUUCUGAUCAUUCUUAAUGAUCAUAGCAAAUAUAGACAAAUACUGUGCCUUCAAAAACAGUUCCCUUUUCACAAUAAUCUAAAAAUACCUUGUUCUUUUUAAAUAUGUAGCUUAACUUUUGAAAAUAAAAUAUACAUUAUAUGAAAUAUAACAGUUGUUUAUUGGAUAGACUAUAUUGUACCAAAUGCAAUUAUAUGCAAAUACACUUUCUCUCUGUGACUUCUUACGCAUUACAUGCACAAAAAAAGAGGAGGGGAAAAAAAGAUGCAGCGCAUACAAAAGAAGCUGUACAUACCUCUGUAUGAAAAUAGAAAAUAUCAAAGCAAGAUGUGCACCAAUAGUCUAGAUUAUGUUACAAAGAACUCGCCGUACAAAAAGACCUACAGGAAUGACCAGAUAACACAUUACCUGGAACACAGAGGUACAGGUACUGGGUUGUUUUAACACAACAAAGACAAAACCUUGUUUUUAAUGCCCUGCCGAUGAAUUCAGGGUCAGAGCCACAUCCGAGAAAGUCUAAAACCAGAUCCCAAAUACAACUGGAUCAAAGAGUGACAGGGUCAUACAAGCAAACCAGGAGUUACAGUUUUAGCUUGGAAUUUUGCCAUUAAACCCAGUGAGUGUUGAUGUCCAAUGCAUAGCACAAAGUUUGGUUUGGUUUGUGUUUAAAUUUCUUGUAUUGCUACCCCAUAAGUGACGUGAGUCUGAACCAAAUUGCCAGUUAUGCCCACAACUUACAAAGCAUUGAUAUGUCAGUGUUAAAUUAUUGAACAUGUACAGAUACUGUGAUUAGUAUUCCAACAUCAAUGUUCUGUACAGCAUCGAUAUUAAGCGUUUCUGGCUUAAAAUCAUUAUUAUUGCCAAAACACCUUCAUACGUCUCCAAUCUCAUUUAAAAUAAAAUGGAUUUGCUCAUGUCCAGUUUAAAUAAGCACACAGAAAAAGUUCUCCACAAAGACAGCGUGUACCAGGCACACUGCUACAUAGCUACAUCUAUCAUUUCCUGCAAAAAAAAGCACUUCUGAAGUCACACAUAAGGUAGGGUGUGAGCAAAAACAGCAAAGACUCCACAAAUUCCAGGAAAAAAUAUAUGUGUUGAGAUUUCUUUAGGAACAACAUGAGGAUUAACGAAAGACAGUCCCGGUACAUGUCUCGACUGCUGAUGCUGAGACUCGAGCGGGGAGGGUGUGAAAAGCGAAUCCCUCCCAGUAUAAUCUCUGAGCAUUUGCAGAGAUUAUCAGGUGCUCAUAGGUAACAUAAAGCCAAUAAUCUCAGCUGUGCAAAUCUAACGCUUGUACCAAAAGGUAGAGCCUUUAAAGCAAAUGAGAUCAGUGCCUUGAAAUAGAGACUUGCUUCUGAAAUCAUUUCACAAACACCCCAGCGUGUGACAACUGUAUUGCUCUGAGUGAAGCUAUUCAAGGACCACAGUGUUUCUCUAUGCAAUCCUCUCUCGGUACAUUCUCUAUCACACAAAUAUAAGAAUAAAGAGCAAGGGCUUUCCUUACUGGUAAUACACCCAAACACUACAAUCCCCCCAAAAAUCUACUCUUUCAUAACAUACAUAAGAAAAUAUACAUUUCUUCAGCAAUUAAAUGUCUUAAAUUGUUGUUAUUUUUUUUAAUAUUCUUAAUAAAAUCUUAUAACUCUUUCUUAUUUACAUUUGGUUAGGUUAAUACUGAUUGUAAUGCAAUACUGUCGCCUUCACGUGUGUCUGUAUGUUUUUUUCUGUUACAUUUCUUUUGUUUGUUUGUUGAGCAGAAGCACUUUUACAUUCAUAUUUCAACACCAGAGCUUGCUGAGAAAGCCCCGAGUGCAGACGGGAAUAAUGACAUGCAUUCCUCCAAAAGCAAAAAAAGACAACUUCAAAAGGAGGAAGUCCUCUUGCUCGAGCAAAUAAACUAGCUGAGAGGUGGAGAGAGUGGAAGGAUGACAAUGACGAGACUGAAAAAGGCCUGGAGAGUUGGCACCCAGCAGUGCCUUUAUUUGGCUGUAAAAAAAAAAAGAAAGAAAGAAAGAAACUCUUGCAGCACCGGGACAGUCAGUUCUGUGAGAAGUCAUGUGUGACAUUACUGGAGGGGUCACAGCUGACUGAGCCAAGAGGUGAGAUGAAAGCCUUUGUUGCUGGAAAAAGCUGUUAACUUGACAAAGACUGAUUUCCACAGUGGUGAAGGCAGUGGUCAGAGGUUACACCCUCUCCACUUGACUGGGGUCGUAAGAGUCUG